RNAcentral lists this small RNA (139 nucleotides) under Paenibacillus yonginensis. RNAcentral's name for it is "c-di-AMP sequence". It matches the Rfam family "c-di-AMP riboswitch aptamer (ydaO/yuaA leader)". Rfam says of the family: This family represents a conserved RNA structure found upstream of the ydaO and yuaA genes in Bacillus subtilis and related genes in other bacteria. The ydaO/yuaA element is thought to act as a genetic "off" switch for the ydaO and yuaA genes in its native state. The record is from Rfam by way of RNAcentral. Lineage: Bacteria; Bacillati; Bacillota; Bacilli; Caryophanales; Paenibacillaceae.
AUAAAGAAUAAGCCUAAUCCCAGGCAUCAGGGGAACGGGGGAACCACUUUGGGUGAAUUGGUCUCGCAACGGAGGGGCCAUAGGGGAAACCUUCUACCGAAUCCUUAAGCUAACCUCGUAGGCGUUGGAAGGGGUACAC